UUGGCCCAAAAGUUCGUUUGGCUUUUUCCAUAACAUCUUACAGAAAAACCUGAAUGAACUUUUGGGCCAA
This 70-nucleotide microRNA precursor is filed under the name Tursiops truncatus (common bottlenose dolphin). Its description in RNAcentral is "miRNA (ENSTTRG00000024564.1)". The record is from RNAcentral. Lineage: Eukaryota; Metazoa; Chordata; Mammalia; Artiodactyla; Delphinidae.